UAGCCUUGACAUAUUAUAGAAUUCAGUAGAGAUACAGAAGUGCCUUCGGGAGCUAUAUUACAGGUGCUGCACGGCUGUCGUCAGCUCGUGUCGUGAGAUGUUGGGUUAAGUCCCGCAACGAGCGCAACCCUCGUCACUAGUUACUAACGGUUAGGCCGAGGACUCUAGUGAGACUGCCUUCGUAAGGAGGAGGAAGGUGAGGACGACGUCAAGUCAUCAUGGCCCUUACGGCUAGGGCAACACACGUGCUACAAUGGGUAGGACAAUGAGAAGCGAUACCGCGAGGUGGAGCAAAUCUAUAAACCUACUCUCAGUUCGGAUAGCAGUCUGCAACUCGACUGCUUGAAGCUGGAAUCACUAGUAAUCGUAGAUCAGCCAUGCUACGGUGAAUACGUUCCCGGGUCU
This 405-nucleotide ribosomal RNA is filed under the name uncultured bacterium. Its description in RNAcentral is "bacterial SSU rRNA". It matches the Rfam family "Bacterial small subunit ribosomal RNA", at positions 976 to 1381 of the family's 1533-position model. The record is from RNAcentral.